GCCGCCUAUGAUGGCGCCCAUUUCCUGCUUCCGGGUUCUUCCCGGCCUGAACAAGCCCGCCAAAUUGUCAUGUCUGCCCAGUUACCCGUGACGCUAGCCUAUCAGCUUGUUAGACGCGCUUCUCUGUGAUUGGAUACUGCUUCCCCUUAUAAGAGGUUGUUCCUGCCCCCAACGGGCGGAAGAGGAACCAACGUUGAGGGUGGCGGACCUUGUUAGGUCCGGUUCGCUGUACGCAAUAAAGUUUGAGAGCUGAUCCUGCUCGAGUUUGGUCUCCUGUCUCCCGCGGCUCCGGUCAUCUGGUGGCCCGUACGGGGAAAAAGGUAAAAGACUCAGCGACGUGCCUCUUCGGCCGGGAGGUGCGAUUGCUGUCGCCUGCGGUACGACGGAGGACCUGGCCCAAUAACAACGGAAGGCCGCGAGCACCUCUUCUCUUCACCCUGAUCAGCUACGUGAGAUACAGCGGUUCCCGGGACAGGAACCAGGCUGCGAACCGCUGUGGGUCCCGGAAAGAUUGACGCGAGCAGUAAACUCCCCACCAGUUCCUGAUAAAGCACAGGAGGAUAAGCCCGCGGACACAAGUCAACUCGACCCUUCUGGGACCGACGCUCAGCGCCCGAGACCAUCUACAAACUAAAAUGUCUGGUUUGGAGCUUUUUCUAUUCUGUGGGUUCCUAUUAAUCACCCCUGUUCGCACAAAGUCCCUCAUAGUCGGUCAGGAACUUGACAAUAUGGACGGUAUCCAACUAGGUCCAGUCAGGUUCGAUUUAUCAACUUUAGGCAGUGUUAUAGCCAGUUUGUGGGAACGCGUCACCUCCUGGUUCUCCUGGCCCAACCUGACUACUUGGAUCCUGAUUGCCGUGGCCAUCCUAGUGGGGCUUGUGGUUAUUAAAUGCUUGUUAGAUCGCCUCAUACAAACUCAGCAGCAGGUUAAGAUCACAGCCAUGGCAGCCAUGCAAAUGGCAGCAGGUGGCUCAUCAGGCCAGCAGGCCACCGCAUAUCUCCUUCACAUUGCAGAACAUCAGCUAUAAGAGCUGAGUGGGCAAGCCAAUGACGGGUAAGACGGGAAAAGCCCUCCCGGUCAACCUAAGACAGGCUCCACUCAGAUAUACAUGGCCUAUAAGGCCAGGGGUCCCUCCUGGAGUCAAAUUAUUGGCAUUGAGAUGCGAGACCAAGGGUACUGCAGUGCCAUCCGCCCCAAAGGUUGGGGGGAAGGCAGGAAUGAAUGUCUAUAUGCAUCCAGGUUCGGUUCACAAAAGCCUGGCCCUGCGAAAAAAUGAACCACUCACCUUGAGCAUGGUCCUGGCACAAGGAUAUGCACAAAACGGGGUGAUGCACAGCAGGGUAUAGACCUCUACAUUCUCUCAUGCCUCGGCCUACAAGGUAGGCCCACUCCUAGGUGUCUAACAGCAACAAGGUCAUAGACACCUUGGAGGGACCCACAGACCAUCCUAUUUUAAUAAAUAAAAAAGGGGGAGAUGUGGGAAGCCGCCUAUGAUGGCGCCCAUUUCCUGCUUCCGGGUUCUUCCCGGCCUGAACAAGCCCGCCAAAUUGUCAUGUCUGCCCAGUUACCCGUGACGCUAGCCUAUCAGCUUGUUAGACGCGCUUCUCUGUGAUUGGAUACUGCUUCCCCUUAUAAGAGGUUGUUCCUGCCCCCAACGGGCGGAAGAGGAACCAACGUUGAGGGUGGCGGACCUUGUUAGGUCCGGUUCGCUGUACGCAAUAAAGUUUGAGAGCUGA
Long non-coding RNA from Cavia porcellus (domestic guinea pig), 1737 nucleotides. RefSeq lists it as uncharacterized. The transcript has 2 exons. The record is from RefSeq and is a predicted model, not a curated record. NCBI's taxonomy places the organism in Eukaryota, Metazoa, Chordata, Mammalia, Rodentia, Caviidae.